This 2179-nucleotide long non-coding RNA is filed under the name Homo sapiens (human). RNAcentral describes it as "PREDICTED lncRNA (TCONS_00194486)". Lineage: Eukaryota; Metazoa; Chordata; Mammalia; Primates; Hominidae. The record is from RNAcentral.
GUACAAACUGUUGCCUAAGGAUACAGGGUGUGUGGCUGGUGGCCUCAACAGGCCCCACGGCUCAGGCACUCAGACCCAAGCUGGUCCCUCAGCCCAUAUUACUAAAUGCCUGACUUCAGAAAAAAAACGUAAACAAAAGACAGAGAUUGGAAGCAUCAGAAUUUUAUUCCAGUGACUCAAUCCCCAUUGUGUGAAGUAGACCAGAAUGAAUAAAUUGAACUUACUCAGCACCUCAAUUAUUAAAUGUAUCCACAGAAAUUCAUUCUGUCAAGUUAACUGUGGAGGUUGUUGUUGCUAUUGCAGACUAAAUGGUUUUCCUGGGAACUCUGACUCUGGCCACAAGAUCAAGACUGACAAAUUUCCUUUCUCUGUUUAUGGAGGGAGACUUCACAACAUUCACUGAAAGAGGAGCAAAGGACCUGGUUUUUGCCAUGACUGGCUUUGGCCCCGUGAAUGAAUGUUUUUCUGGCAUUGGAAAGCGGAUAGCAAAGAGAGCAGAACCACAAAUGGGCUAUGAGGAAAUGUGUUCAAUGAAGAAAACAAAAUCUCUGACAAGAUCCAACAUAGGACAACAUCUCAGCAUCUUCUGUGAUUUGUGAACCCAAGUAAAGCACUUCUUAGAGUUAUCUGGCACAUUCGCAACUAAUAGCUUUCUGUGAAUAAAUACUGUGGCAACCACGUUAACUGUACAAAAACAAAUUGCUUAUUUCUUAUAUCCAUGCUGGAAGAUUAUCUGGCUGACCUUAUCAGCUGUGAUGUCAGGAAUGUCAGCCAGUUAUCCUGUGGUGCAUUCAGCUGGGUCAUUGUACCCCAUCAGUGAGGCAAUUGCAAAGUUCCAUCUGGACAGAGGUAGAAAAAAUUAUAUUCACUUUGAGUUUUGGAUUUUUUUCUCUUAAUUUUCAAAGAUAAAGACAAUUGCUUUUGGCUUUUAAGAGACACAUCUGGUAUGCCUUGGGCUGGAUGCCAGAUAUUUCUGCUGUUGAGUUUUUAUAACAUUAUAUAGGCCUCAAUAUUUUAGAACUAGUAUACAUUUGAUAAAAGUGACUUUUCUAAAGUUUUAGGGAGAAUCUUUUGCUUAGGUGCAGCUGAGUAUUUUUAGUUCAGUACUACAGAUGGCAUACCAAAUUUAAGAGGAGUUGAGUGACUGCUUCAAGGUUGCACAGCUAGUUCUUGGUAGAUCUGGAAAAGGACCAACAUCUCUUGGCCCUUUGUCAGAUAUUCUUUCUUUGAUUUCACACUGUUUUUAAAGAUGCUUAAUACAUUUUAAAUUAAAAUGGUUAUUUGAAUCUGCUUAAACUAGACAAUACUAAUUGUCAAACAUCCAUUACCUGCUUUUUCUCUAGUAACAGAUUGGUGCAAAAAGAAUUGCGGUUUUUGCCAUUACUUUUAAUGGCAUUAAUUACUUUUAAUGGCAAAAACCUUAGUUCCUUUUGCACCAGCCUAAUAAUAAAACCCCUAAUUUUAACUUGGCACGUGGCCAACCAGAAUAGAAACUACAUGUUCCUGCUUUGCUUUCAGUAGCAUUAGCUGAAGUAAUCUUCAAUGGGGAUAGGAAAAAUGAGGUGCACAACUGCCUGGUUGCACUCUUAUAGGAAAGGCAUAACCCUCCAUUUCCCUUUUAUCUUUUCCACUCACUAGAGUAGUGAUCUGGUCAUAAUUCAUUCUGGACCAUGUUGACAGGGCAAUAUACUGGAGAUUGUAGAGAAGAAGUCAGAAGGGACUUGGAUCCCUGAUACUAUGGAACUGUCUUGCAGCCCUAGUUUGCUUAUGUCUAGACUUUUAUGCAAGAGAAAAAAUAAACAUUUCUUUGUUUUAACUACUGAUACUUAGAUCUUAGCUACAGCAACUGAACACACAAUGCUAUUUAAUAAUUUGCAAAUGUUAUACUGCCAGUUGAUAUUUUAUAACUACCAAAUUUAAGUGCAGUAAAUGGGCAUUAUGCUUGUUUAAAUGUCUGGCAAUCUUGGAAUUAUACCAUUACCAUCAUAUGUUGCAUGAGAUGGUUUUCCAUUCCAUUUAGAGUCCGUACAAUAACUCAUACAAUGUGUCACUACUGCUGUCUCUUCUCAGCGGGCUUCAACCAUACUUAUUUCUUUGCCGUUCCUAAACAUUCCAGAUAUACUCAGUGUUCCUUCCUCAGGGUAAAUGUUGUUUUGUUGGUGGUGUGGUUUGUUUUUUU